CUACGGGAGGCAGCAGUGAGGAAUAUUGCACAAUGGGAGGAACCCUGAUGCAGCAACGCCGCGUGGAGGAUGACGCAUUUCGGUGUGUAAACUCCUUUUAUAUGUCAAGAAAAUGACGGUAGCAUAUGAAUAAGCACCGGCUAACUCCGUGCCAGCAGCCGCGGUAAUACGGAGGGUGCAAGCGUUACUCGGAAUCACUGGGCGUAAAGGACGCGUAGGCGGGUUGGAAAGUCAGGUGUGAAAUCCUACAGCUUAACUGUAGAACUGCACUUGAAACUUCUAAUCUAGAGUAUGGGAGGGGGAAAUGGAAUUAGUGGUGUAGGGGUAAAAUCCGUAGAUAUCACUAGGAAUACCUAAAGCGAAGGCGAUCUCCUGGAACAUUACUGACGCUAAGGCGUGAAAGCGUGGGGAGCAAACAGGAUUAGAUACCCCUGUAGUC
RNAcentral lists this ribosomal RNA (439 nucleotides) under uncultured bacterium. RNAcentral's name for it is "partial 16S ribosomal RNA". It matches the Rfam family "Bacterial small subunit ribosomal RNA", at positions 339 to 795 of the family's 1533-position model. The record is from RNAcentral.